Molecule: ribosomal RNA, 404 nt
Filed under: Actinomycetes bacterium
Lineage: Bacteria; Bacillati; Actinomycetota; Actinomycetes
Description: Actinobacteria bacterium partial 16S ribosomal RNA
Rfam family: Bacterial small subunit ribosomal RNA
Source: RNAcentral
UAGGGAAUCUUCCGCAAUGGGCGCAAGCCUGAUCCAGCCAUGCCGCGUGAGUGAUGAAGGCCCUAGGGUUGUAAAGCUCUUUCACCGGUGAAGAUAAUGACGGUAACCGGAGAAGAAGCCCCGGCUAACUUCGUGCCAGCAGCCGCGGUAAUACGAAGGGGGCUAGCGUUGUUCGGAUUUACUGGGCGUAAAGCGCACGUAGGCGGACUAUUAAGUCAGGGGUGAAAUCCCGGGGCUCAACCCCGGAACUGCCUUUGAUACUGGUAGUCUUGAGUUCGAGAGAGGUGAGUGGAAUUCCGAGUGUAGAGGUGAAAUUCGUAGAUAUUCGGAGGAACACCAGUGGCGAAGGCGGCUCACUGGCUCGAUACUGACGCUGAGGUGCGAAAGCGUGGGGAGCAAACAGG